CUCCGCCGGCGACCGGCGCACGGGUGAGUAACACGUAUGCAACCUGCCCCUGUCAGGGGGACAACCCGCCGAAAGGCGGGCUAAACCCGCGUGCAUGCCACCGGGGCAUCCCGGAGGCAGGAAAGGCUUCGGCCGGACAGGGAUGGGCAUGCGGCGCAUUAGGCAGUAGGCGGGGUAACGGCCCACCUAACCGACGAUGCGUAGGGGUUCUGAGAGGAAGGUCCCCCACACUGGUACUGAGACACGGACCAGACUCCUACGGGAGGCAGCAG
This 272-nucleotide ribosomal RNA is filed under the name uncultured bacterium. RNAcentral's name for it is "partial 16S ribosomal RNA". It matches the Rfam family "Bacterial small subunit ribosomal RNA", at positions 83 to 354 of the family's 1533-position model. The record is from RNAcentral.